GGGCUCAUAGCUCAGAGGAUAGAGCAAUCGCCUUCUAAGCGAUCGGUCACAGGUUCGAAUCCUGUUGAGCCCG
This 73-nucleotide transfer RNA is filed under the name Leptolyngbyaceae cyanobacterium JSC-12. RNAcentral's name for it is "Oscillatoriales cyanobacterium JSC-12 tRNA". It matches the Rfam family "tRNA". Rfam says of the family: Transfer RNA (tRNA) molecules are approximately 80 nucleotides in length. Their secondary structure includes four short double-helical elements and three loops (D, anti-codon, and T loops). RNAcentral also lists the same sequence under 4 other names. The record is from Rfam by way of RNAcentral. Lineage: Bacteria; Bacillati; Cyanobacteriota; Cyanophyceae; Leptolyngbyales; Leptolyngbyaceae.